AAAGAAAGAGGGAGGCAGGAAGAACACAGGCAAGUCGAACGAGACCUUCGGGUCUAGUGGCGCACGGGUGCGUAACGCGUGGGAACCUGCCCUUAGGUUCGGAAUAACUCCCCGAAAGGGGUGCUAAUACCGGAUAAUGUCUUCGGACCAAAGAUUUAUCGCCUUUGGAUGGGCCCGCGUUGGAUUAGCUAGUUGGUAGGGUAAAAGCCUACCAAGGCGACGAUCCAUAGCUGGUCUGAGAGGAUGAUCAGCCACACUGGGACUGAGACACGGCCCAGACUCCUACGGGAGGCAGCAGUGGGGAAUAUUGGACAAUGGGCGAAAGCCUGAUCCAGCAAUGCCGCGUGAGUGAUGAAGGCCUUAGGGUUGUAAAGCUCUUUUACCCGGGAUGAUAAUGACAGUACCGGGAGAAUAAGCGCCGGCUAACUCCGUC
Molecule: ribosomal RNA, 433 nt
Filed under: uncultured bacterium
Lineage: Bacteria
Description: partial 16S ribosomal RNA
Rfam family: Bacterial small subunit ribosomal RNA
Source: RNAcentral